Molecule: long non-coding RNA, 555 nt
Organism: Neltuma alba
Lineage: Eukaryota; Viridiplantae; Streptophyta; Magnoliopsida; Fabales; Fabaceae
Exons: 3
Source: RefSeq, a predicted model, not a curated record
CUCUUUCUCUUUCGCUUGAUUCUCAUCUUGCUUCCAGAAAUUAAAGCCGUAGCCUCACCGGCAAAGUGCUACACUCUGGCUGACUUCCCUUUCUCCUCUCGCUCUAUUCUCUAUUUAGCAUGAAACCUGAUAUCCAACAUGGGAGGGUAGGAAGAAACAACAGUGCUUACUUCGCAACUCUUUUAUUCCUUCAAAAAUCCCGCUUCCUGGAAAAUAUAUUGUCUGGUUUUUGAAGUUUCUCCUCCAAGAUGUUUUCAAAUCGAAAUGAGUCCGGAGCGCCCGUUGGAAAAUCGAAGGUUAGAAAUGGUUUUUAUUUUGGAUGGAUGCAGGCAAAUAUAAUGUUUGAAUUUUGAAGUUCCUCCCCCAAGAUGUCGUCAAACAAAAGCACAAGCACAAGUGAAAACCCUGCAAAAGGCCAUGCAUGCGAUGCAGUGGCGAGUUAUGGCGAGAAAUAUGUAAAGGUAAGUUUGAUGAUGUGUUUCCUAAGAUUUUGUCUAAGUGAGGCGAGUCCGUAUGGACGACUGACAACGUAUUUCCUCUUUCCUCUCCCAAGGC